AAUAACGCCCCAAAGUAGAGACCAGUAAAAUGGUUCUUUGUCCCUUUCUUCAACGUUCCUCUUCUUUUUUCGUACCAGCAGCUGCAAAUCCGUCCUUGUGGCCUUGAGAUGGGGCCACAUCGUUCGCCAAGGACGCUCGAGUCAAUCCAAGCCUUUGGUUUCCUUUCCUCUUCCGGAAUGGAGCCGAAUCGUCAGGAAACGGUGUCUCCCUCAAUUUGUGAAAGAGAUUUGGACUUUGAAAUUCGAAUUUGGACCCAUCCUCACUCAAUAUUCCCCCAAAAAUCGAACCCUAAUAACCCCUAUGUAUAUUCUCUUUCGCUUCAUUGUAAAAGGGGGAAAUUUUUUUCGGUGACAGAAAACUUUACUUGGUGAAUAGUUUAAAUUUGAGAGGAAAAUAUAGUGAACUGUCAGCUACAAUUAUUUGAGGAUAAGUUCUCAGAAGCAAAAAAAAAAAAAAGUGAGAGUUUAGGCCUUGUUUGAGUGCCUUGCUUGUUUCUUCGUUCACCGGAGUUUUCGUUAGAUAUCCCUGUUUUACUGCACUUCGAAAGGCUCACACCACCGUAUCCGAGUCGUCCAUCCCUUUAUAACUGGUGUACAGAUCAAAAUCAGCAAAAUUUGUUGCUGGGAAUUAAUUUGCAGGUCCCCAAAAAGCCGAAAAAUAGGUCGAUAUACAGCCCCUAUACACUGGUAUACAAUGUGAAUAUACAAUAUGCUGUUGGAAAACGUGGCCAGGAAUUUAAAAACGCAAAAAUACAAAGUUUUGGUUGAAAUUGCAGGUUCAGGAGCGCAAAACUCGUCAAUAUACACAGCGUAUACAUAGAAUAUACACUCAAAAUGUAUCAUGACUUUGGAAAGAGAAUAGGCCUAAAGGCCUUAAAACUGCAGCAGCAGAAUUUGGGCCUAGGGCCCAAAUUUGAUGUUUCCUCCCUUUCUUAUUUAUUUAUCAUGAUAGUUGACUAAUUAUUUUAUGUGAUUUUGGUUUAAUUUAUUUAUUCUCCUAUGAUAGACAUUCCUCUUAUUUGUACAUAUAUUUAUUUAUAUA
Long non-coding RNA from Solanum pennellii, 1042 nucleotides. RefSeq lists it as uncharacterized. NCBI's taxonomy places the organism in Eukaryota, Viridiplantae, Streptophyta, Magnoliopsida, Solanales, Solanaceae. The transcript is spliced from 2 exons. The record is from RefSeq and is a predicted model, not a curated record.